UGCAAGUCGAGCGGACAGAAGGGAGCUUGCUCCCGGAUGUUAGCGGCGGACGGGUGAGUAACACGUGGGUAACCUGCCUGUAAGACUGGGAUAACUCCGGGAAACCGGAGCUAAUACCGGAUAGUUCCUUGAACCGCAUGGUUCAAGGAUGAAAGACGGUUUCGGCUGUCACUUACAGAUGGACCCGCGGCGCAUUAGCUAGUUGGUGAGGUAACGGCUCACCAAGGCAACGAUGCGUAGCCGACCUGAGAGGGUGAUCGGCCACACUGGGACUGAGACACGGCCCAGACUCCUACGGGAGGCAGCAGUAGGGAAUCUUCCGCAAUGGACGAAAGUCUGACGGAGCAACGCCGCGUGAGUGAUGAAGGUUUUCGGAUCGUAAAGCUCUGUUGUUAGGGAAGAACAAGUGCAAGAGUAACUGCUUGCACCUUGACGGUACCUAACCAGAAAGCCACGGCUAACUACGUGCCAGCAGCCGCGGUAAUACGUAGGUGGCAAGCGUUGUCCGGAAUUAUUGGGCGUAAAGGGCUCGCAGGCGGUUUCUUAAGUCUGAUGUGAAAGCCCCCGGCUCAACCGGGGAGGGUCAUUGGAAACUGGGAAACUUGAGUGCAGAAGAGGAGAGUGGAAUUCCACGUGUAGCGGUGAAAUGCGUAGAGAUGUGGAGGAACACCAGUGGCGAAGGCGACUCUCUGGUCUGUAACUGACGCUGAGGAGCGAAAGCGUGGGGAGCGAACAGGAUUAGAUACCCUGGUAGUCCACGCCGUAAACGAUGAGUGCUAAGUG
RNAcentral lists this ribosomal RNA (783 nucleotides) under Bacillus altitudinis. RNAcentral describes it as "bacterial SSU rRNA". It matches the Rfam family "Bacterial small subunit ribosomal RNA", at positions 56 to 822 of the family's 1533-position model. The record is from RNAcentral. Lineage: Bacteria; Bacillati; Bacillota; Bacilli; Caryophanales; Bacillaceae.